This is a long non-coding RNA of Drosophila miranda, 1326 nucleotides long. RefSeq lists it as uncharacterized. The record is from RefSeq and is a predicted model, not a curated record. NCBI's taxonomy places the organism in Eukaryota, Metazoa, Arthropoda, Insecta, Diptera, Drosophilidae. The transcript has 2 exons.
CUCGCAGCGAAGAGUGCCGCUCCAUUCUCCGCUGCCAAAGCCGGCCGCGACAGCGACGCGACUGCGAGCUCUGCCGCCUUCCAUGGGGUUCUUGAGCGUAUGCAAAAGAUUUUUGCACAUAUUCAUCUUUUUGGCCGUUUUCGGUGCGUUUCGUGGAGCUCGCUGGCUCCUGACGGGUUCCCGCAACAUUUUUGUGCGGCAUCUGAGUUUUGAGUUUUUUGCGCGCUCUAAAGAAAUUCUGUUCCCGUGUUUUUGGAGUCUGGUUCUGGUUCCACGUCUCCGUCUUGCAUCUUUCCAGCAGAUUCCGAUACUUCCUACAUCUGCGUCACGAUAUUCUUGCUAUUUUUCGAUCCAGAGUGUAUUUUUUUUCUCGAGACGAGUGUGUGUCUGUGCAAAUGUAUCUGUAACUGUAAUUGUAUCUGUGCGAUGUCUUGGGGAAUAAAUUCGCCAAAAAAUUUCAGCAUCAUUCAGUUUCUGUCAAGUCAGAAAAAUAUUUUUUAUGUGUGCGUUUUUUUUCUGGACAGUUGUGCGCCAAAUGGCCUUGUGAAUUGGGGGGUUUAAAGGGUAUUUGCAUGUGAAACAGAUGUGCAGAUUAGUUGGAGUCGAAACAGAUGGAUCCAUCUAUGAACAACACUUUUUUUUUUGGGAUCAACGAUCGGUUGCUCCAUGUGAAUACUGUGGAAAUGUUGUGCGAAUCCCGAGUGCAAAGAACAGACUUCCAAGACCGUGAGAUGAACAGGAAGUGCAGGACUCACUACACCCCACACAUCUGGUGAAUGUGUGGCCGUCGCUGUAGACCCGUUACCAUUGCCGUGUACCCAUGGGGUACAGAGCGAGGUGCUUUUUGACUGUUUGGAACAUUUUUAAAGAUUACGUUAAAACGUUGUUGAUACUUAUUGAAAUAUUGUUUUAUUUAAUUGAAUAAUAAUAAUAAUAAUAAUAAUAACACAUAUAAUACUAUUAAUAUAAUACCAAAACGAAAACGAAGACGAUAGAAGAUCCGUCAACAUAAUACAAAUGUAAUAAUAAUAGCAGCGAUAACGAUAACGAUAACAACUUAUGUGCAAUCAUUUAAACUUAUUAUUUUGAAGCCUUCUUAUCACUAAAUAACUGAAUAAUUUGUAUAUAAUUUCCAUCAAUCAAUUCUACGACAAAACAAAAAAAAAACAACAACAAAGAUCUAACAACAACAACAUCAACAGCAACAACAACAACAUCAAGAGGAAAUAGUACAACAAAUUAAAGUUCAUCUUCAGUUGUAUGGAAAAACAAAAAGUGAUUUUCAGUUAGUUUCUCAAAAUUUAACAAACAAAAUUCACAACAAAA